CGAUGAUACGCGAGGAACCUUACCUGGGCGUCGAACGUAAGAUGACUGUAGGUGAAAGCUUACAUCUCUUCGGAGCAUUUUACGAGGUGCUGCAUGGUUGUCGUCAGCUCGUGCCGUGAGGUGUCGGGUUAAGUCCCAUAACGAGCGCAACCCCUACCUUUAGUUGCCAUCAGGUAAUGCUGGGGACUCUAAAGGAACUGCCUACGCAAGUAGUGAGGAAGGCGGGGAUGACGUCAAAUCAGCACGGCCCUUACGUCCAGGGCUACACACGUGCUACAAUGGCCGAUACAGAGGGCAGCUACCUGGUGACAGGAUGCAAAUCUCCAAAGUCGGUCUCAGUUCGGAUCGGAGUCUGCAACCCGACUCCGUGAAGUUGGAUUCGCUAGUAAUCGCGCAUCAGCCAUGGCGCGGUGAAUACGUUCCCGGGCCUU
This 431-nucleotide ribosomal RNA is filed under the name uncultured Sphingobacteriales bacterium. RNAcentral's name for it is "bacterial SSU rRNA". It matches the Rfam family "Bacterial small subunit ribosomal RNA", at positions 952 to 1382 of the family's 1533-position model. Lineage: Bacteria; Pseudomonadati; Bacteroidota; Sphingobacteriia; Sphingobacteriales. The record is from RNAcentral.